ACUGCCCGUACUGGAAACCGACACAGGUGGUCAGGAUGAGAAAUCUAAAGCGGACAGGCUAACUCUCGUUAAGGAACUCUGCAAAAUGGCCCCGUAACUUCGGGAGAAGGGGUGCCUUUAGGCGUGAGUAUACAAGCGAUACAAAGCGCUUUGAGGUCGCAGUGAAGAGGCUCAAGCAACUGUUUAACAAAAACACAGGUCUAUGCGAAGCUGUAAGGCGAAGUAUAUGGGCUGACACCUGCCCAGUGCCGGAAGGUUAAGAGGAGGAGUGAGAGCUCCGAAUUGAAGCCCCGGUGAACGGCGGCCGUAACUAUAACGGUCCUAAGGUAGCGAAAUUCCUUGUCGGGUAAGUUCCGACCUGCACGAAUGGUGUAAUGAUUUGAGCGCUGUCUUGACGGGAGGCCUGGUGAAAUUGUAUUACCGGUGAAGAUACCGGUUACCUACAGUAGGACGGAAAGACCCCAUGGAGCUUUACUGUAGCUUGGUAUUGGGUUUUGGCAUGGCAUGUAUAGGAUAGUUGGGAGACUGGGAAGGAAUGGCGCUAGCUGUACCGGAGUCAUCGGUGGAAUACCAACCAUUCCCUGCUGAAAUUCUAAUCUGUACUUUGGAGGUACGGAGACAGUGCUAGGUGGGCAGUUUGACUGGGGCGGUCGCCUCCGAAAGAGUAACGGAGGCGUUCAAAGGUUCUCUCAGGUUGGAUGGAAAUCAACCGCAGAGUGCAAUGGCAAAAGAGAGCUUGACUGCAAGACUGACGGGUCGAGCAGAUGCGAAAGCAGGACAUAGUGAUCCGGCGAUUCCG
This 799-nucleotide ribosomal RNA is filed under the name Fusobacterium necrophorum. RNAcentral describes it as "partial 23S ribosomal RNA". It matches the Rfam family "Bacterial large subunit ribosomal RNA", at positions 1637 to 2431 of the family's 2925-position model. The record is from RNAcentral. Lineage: Bacteria; Fusobacteriati; Fusobacteriota; Fusobacteriia; Fusobacteriales; Fusobacteriaceae.